UGAUGGGGUCAACUCCUGCGAGGGUACUCUUUUCUCCACUUGGUUUCUAAACUUGCUGUUAUAACCAUCAUACUAUUUGGUGUGAGAGUUUCUGCACCAAUCCAAAUUAUACACAUAAUACUCUUUGGUGUAAGAUUUUCUUCACCAAUCCAUUGAUAACACAUUUUUUGGUACAAGUACUAGAACAGUAACAAAAUUCCCGUUUCAAGUUUAUGAGAGCAUGUUUCAUAGACAUGCACUUGGUUUCUUCUUGGAUCCACCUGUUGGGCCUAUGCAAUAUUCAUAUCACUAAAUUUCUUGACAAACUUAAAAAAAAUAAUAAAAAAAAUGCUUUGAGGAAGUAUAGCCUUCUUUUGCAUAUUUUAAAUUUUCUUGAUAUUUUUAAAUAGCACAAAUAGGUUCUCAGUUAUCUGGGAGCAGGACACUGGUACUUAAAUAUCACAUGUAAAUGUUGGUGAAAUGACAUAGAUGAUAAGAUACUUUUUCAUGGGAGUGUAUAUUGAUUCACUUGAGAUUUUCAACUCUUGGUGUGUUUCA
RNAcentral lists this unclassified non-coding RNA (537 nucleotides) under Hevea brasiliensis (rubber tree). The record is from RNAcentral. Lineage: Eukaryota; Viridiplantae; Streptophyta; Magnoliopsida; Malpighiales; Euphorbiaceae.